GUGAGGAAUAUUGGACAAUGGGCGCAAGCCUGAUCCAGUCAUGCCGCGUGCAGGAAGACGCAUCUAUGGUGUGUAAACUGCUUUUGUACGGGAAGAAACACUCCCUCGUGAGGGAGCUUGACGGUACCGUAAGAAUAAGGAUCGGCUAACUCCGUGCCAGCAGCCGCGGUAAUACGGAGGAUCCAAGCGUUAUCCGGCAUCAUUGGGUUUAAAGGGUCCGUAGGCGGUUUAAUAAGUCAGUGGUGAAAGCCCAUCGCUCAACGAUGGAACGGCCAUUGAUACUGUUAGACUUGAAUUACAAGGAAGUAACUAGAAUAUGUAGUGUAGCGGUGAAAUGCUUAGAUAUUACAUGGAAUACCAAUUGCGAAGGCAGGUUACUACUUGUGGAUUGACGCUGAUGGACGAAAGCGUGGGGAGCGAACAGGAUUAGAAACCCGUGUAGUCC
Molecule: ribosomal RNA, 445 nt
Filed under: uncultured bacterium
Lineage: Bacteria
Description: partial 16S ribosomal RNA
Rfam family: Bacterial small subunit ribosomal RNA
Source: RNAcentral